Molecule: ribosomal RNA, 419 nt
Filed under: Oscillospiraceae bacterium
Lineage: Bacteria; Bacillati; Bacillota; Clostridia; Eubacteriales; Oscillospiraceae
Description: bacterial SSU rRNA
Rfam family: Bacterial small subunit ribosomal RNA
Source: RNAcentral
UUUUAGAGAGUUUGAUCCUGGCUCAGGACGAACGCUGGCGGCGUGCCUAACACAUGCAAGUCGAACGGAGUGAAACGCUGAUUUGAUUGUAGCUUGCUACAGGAUUUUCUUGUUUCACUUAGUGGCGGACGGGUGAGUAACGCGUGAGCAACCUGCCUCUAAGUGGGGAAUAACAUUUGGAAACGAAUGGUAAUACCGCAUAAUAUAUAUUUGCCGCAUGACAGAUAUAUCAAAGAUUUAUCGCUUAGAGAUGGGCUCGCGUCCGAUUAGCUAGUUGGUGAGGUAACGGCUCACCAAGGCGACGAUCGGUAGCCGGACUGAGAGGUUGAACGGCCACAUUGGGACUGAGACACGGCCCAGACUCCUACGGGAGGCAGCAGUGGGGGAUAUUGCGCAAUGGGGGAAACCCUGACGCAGCA